UUCCUAGUGGUCCAGUGGUUAGGACUCUGCCCUUUCACUGCUGAGGACAUGGGUUCAAGCCCUGGUUGGGGAA
This 73-nucleotide transfer RNA is filed under the name Bos taurus (domestic cattle). It matches the Rfam family "tRNA". Rfam says of the family: Transfer RNA (tRNA) molecules are approximately 80 nucleotides in length. Their secondary structure includes four short double-helical elements and three loops (D, anti-codon, and T loops). Further hydrogen bonds mediate the characteristic L-shaped molecular structure. tRNAs have two regions of fundamental functional importance: the anti-codon, which is responsible for specific mRNA codon recognition, and the 3' end, to which the tRNAs corresponding amino acid is attached (by aminoacyl-tRNA synthetases). tRNAs cope with the degeneracy of the genetic code in two manners: having more than one tRNA (with a specific anti-codon) for a particular amino acid; and 'wobble' base-pairing, i.e. permitting non-standard base-pairing at the 3rd anti-codon position. Lineage: Eukaryota; Metazoa; Chordata; Mammalia; Artiodactyla; Bovidae. The record is from Rfam by way of RNAcentral. RNAcentral also lists the same sequence under 2 other names.